UCGGAUCAGGUAGGAAUACCCGCUGAACUUAA
RNAcentral lists this ribosomal RNA (32 nucleotides) under Colletotrichum truncatum. Its description in RNAcentral is "partial 28S ribosomal RNA". RNAcentral also lists the same sequence under 3 other names. Lineage: Eukaryota; Fungi; Ascomycota; Sordariomycetes; Glomerellales; Glomerellaceae. The record is from RNAcentral.